CUCCGCCCGACCUUGCUUGUCUGCACCCGGGCUCGGGGGUCGGCCGCGGGGCUGACCUGGGCUGCGCCCGCGCCCUGCUCUAACGUGCUCUAACGUGCUCUAACCUGCGCUGCGUGACCGCGGCCAGACCUAACUCCGCCUCCGACCCCGUGGAAGCUCGAGGGUUGAGCUCCGGGACGGAUGGGGGCUCCCCUCCCGCCUGCAGCAUUCCCGUCCUGUCCACCCCUGCGCCCCCAGCCCUGCUGCGCUCUGCAGCCUGCCUGAACCCACCAGACCGCGGGGUCUUGCUGAGGCUGACGGCUAAGAUCUGCAGCAUCUCCAUGGCACCGUCAAUCUGGGUUCCUCUUGCCAGGAAUUGGUUCCUGCUUUCCGCUGGAGGAAAGCCCGGACCUAGUGUUCUCAUUGCUUUCAUGGUGAUCUUCAGAGGCACUUAAUUCCAUCAUAUCUGCCUACACCCCAUAGCAUUUUGAAUUAACCUCUAUUAUAGCACUUAUAACAAAUGAGCAAAUCCAGGUCUUUGGAAAAUAGCAGGCUGUUGCUGAAGCAAUGAGUGAUUGAACUCCUAAGGAAGCUAACCACUGAGGAAAAGUUUAUGUUAACUUAGAGUACUAUGGUCUUAUUUCUUAAUCUUAGAGAAUUCUGGAAAAACUAUUCUUGCAUUUGCAUCUAGACAAUUCUGGUCGUUUCCAUCCCAAUUGUGACACUUUGUAACAGAGUGUCCUAAGGCAGUUUUCGUAAUCAUUUAGAACCUCAGUUUUCCAUAUUUUUGCAACGUGGAUAAUAAUACUUAAGAUCAUAACAUUGCGGUCCUAGUAUGUUUCAGAAGAUUAGAUGAGAUGACACAUAUAAAGCCCAUAGCACAGUGGAAGGCAAUGCUGCUCAUAAUUAUGAGUGUUUAUUAUUCUUGCCUUUCCUAACUCCAGGAAACUUUAAUCACUUCCUGCUUAAUUUGAGCAAGGGUUUGGCAAAUGCACCUGCUAACAGCAACUGAUGAACAAUGCUGUCUUCAACUCCCUCAUGCCUGAGCUUCCACAAAGGCCUUCUUUGAAACCCAUGCAAGCAGAACAACCAAGGUGCUUCAUCAAUGGGGCUCAUGUACUGACAGGGCUCCGAACAGAAAGAAUUUGCUGCCUUGUGGUGCUGGCCAGGUGUGGAGUCAGGGAUUGUGAGGCAGCCUUCCUGGAGGACUGGAGGCUUCGAAGCUGGGGGAGGACGCCAUGUGACGUGAGUGACUCCACCCAGGACAACACCCUUUGGCUCCUGCUUAUAUGUCCCAAUGUUCACCGGACUCAGAUGCUUGAGUGUCUAGGAGAUACCUGUGCUUAUUCCCCUCCGAGCCUUGCGGUCCUCCCCAUCUCAGCACGACACCUCCAGAAACACAGGUGUCACCCGCAUGUUCUUUCAUGCCCUCAAACCUAAUAUAGUUGACAGUAACGGAAGUUGGAAGUUCCUCCUCCACACCAUGUGAUUCUUCACGGCCGUGUAGCCCCUAUGCCGUCUGGGUAGGGCCGCUCACUCCCAUACCUUCCCCGGUCCAAGCCAACAAGGGUAAUCUCAUCCCUCAUCCACGCCGUGUCUGGUAACGUCCAUCUAAGCUAACGAGGCUGCGGGCAAUGGACGUAUAGUGGGGGUAGGAAGCUAGCCCUGGCCCGUUCUCCCGGCAAUGGGCAUUUGUCCAGAGAUGGCUCAAUCAAUCCGAGAUCAGGAUUUUUAUUUUACAGUUGUUGGAACGAUGCCUGCCCCUCCCCCAGGCAAAUAGGACCAUCUUGCCACCCUGUAUAGGUCUUGCUCUUGAAGCCAAGAGGUAUGGACUUGCAUCCAGGUAUGGACUCAGCAUAAGGAUAAAGGGAUGCAGAAAGGGUGGGGGACAGACGGAGUGGGACUGAGAAGCAGAAGAAUACAUUUAGAGCCCUGAUCAAACCUUACUUGAAGCCCACAUCUGUCAUAGCUUUCACUUUAUAAGUCUGUAAAUCGUCCUUAUUUUCUGAAGAAAGUUGAUGGAGUUUUGUUUCCUGAAAUCGAAAGAACCAAACCAAUAAACGUAUCCACGCCACUA
Canis lupus familiaris (dog) is the source of this 2056-nucleotide long non-coding RNA. RefSeq lists it as uncharacterized. The transcript is spliced from 4 exons. The record is from RefSeq and is a predicted model, not a curated record. NCBI's taxonomy places the organism in Eukaryota, Metazoa, Chordata, Mammalia, Carnivora, Canidae.